UCAAUGUGGAGGCUAUAUACAGGGGGUCAAUGUGGAGGCUAUAUACAGGGGGUCAAUGUGGAGGCUAUAUACAGGGGGUACCGUUAUUUGUGUGUUCCUCUUCUCCGGUCCCCACCACAGUUACGACAGAUGGAUGCUAACUAGACGCUGUUCGCCUUGAGAGUUUCAUUUUUUCGAGGGUCUGCACAACAAAACCAAAAACAUGAUCGAAAUGAUUUGUAUGCUCUUCUCGUAAUUCUGACUGAGGAGGGCCAAACACCGAGGAUCAGGCUGUGAUGUCAUCAUCAGUGGGAGGCCACAUAGAGGUGGAGGGCCAAACACUGAGGUUCAGGCUGUGAUGUCAUCAUCAGUGGGAGGCCACAUAGAGGUGGAGGGCCAAACACUGAGGUUCAGGCUGUGAUGUCAUCAUCAGUGGGAGGCCACAUAGAGGUGGAGGGCCAAACACCGAGGAUCAGGCUGUGAUGUCAUCAUCAGUGGGAGGCCACAUAGAGGUGGAGGGCCAAACACCGAGGAUCAGGCUGUGAGGUCAUCAUCAGUGGGAGGCCACAUAGAGGUGCACUGGUCCUUUACGUUCAGGUUCUGGGAGCGGCUGAAAAGCCAAGGAAGUGUUAUUUUACUAUGAAGAUUUGUGAUCAACGCCUUUUUUUUAUGACCAUCCAUUAAGUCUGGACGCUUGUCUCUGGUUUACACUAAAUAUACUAUUUGAAUAACUUUAAUGUUUGCAUUAUUGUCAUAUUACUCUGUUUGAAUUGUCUCUCAUUCAUAAGCACUUAAAUGUUUUCUUCUGAAGUUCUCGCAGGCGGGUCUCGGUGUCUGUGUGGAAUAUCACCACCUGAUUACAACAGUACCUGUGCACAGUAGUCGUGUCAUGAUUAAAUAAAUCAUUGCAAUGAUUUUUUUUUUAAACAAUCUCCAUUUUUAUUUUAUAUAAACUAUGAAGCUGCUGAGCUCAAGAAGUGAAGAGUGUCUGUUUUAAUCAGUAAUGACUAAUUAACGUGUUACUCUAUUAAGGAAGUAGGCGACUUCAUGUCAGCCAGAGCACCUGGCUCAUGCCGAGGAGGCAGCCCGCUUCCACGACUAAUGCAAUCACUUCCCCACCUGGUUCAAACUCCUCCCACCAGUGACAAGAGGUUGCCAUGGGGACCUCCCGUGUGGUGCAGCGGUCUAAGGCACGGCAUCGCAAUGCUAGAGGUGUCACUACAUGAAUAAAAUCAGUUUCCAUGUGGGGAAUCGUAGGUGGUGGUCAUUAUAUUGAUGUCUUGUUUUGACUGAUGUCAUGUUUAUGCUAAUAUGGCAAAAAAAUCACUUGCAAGCUAACUAGCAACAACCAUAACGAUGUAUGUGAGACAAGUGCUUAUUGUGCGAAUGUAUUUGUUUUCAAUAAACAUUUGGAGAUUAAAUAUA
This is a long non-coding RNA of Oncorhynchus kisutch (coho salmon), 1404 nucleotides long. RefSeq lists it as uncharacterized. Lineage: Eukaryota; Metazoa; Chordata; Actinopteri; Salmoniformes; Salmonidae. The record is from RefSeq and is a predicted model, not a curated record. The transcript has 2 exons.